Molecule: long non-coding RNA, 1177 nt
Filed under: Homo sapiens (human)
Lineage: Eukaryota; Metazoa; Chordata; Mammalia; Primates; Hominidae
Description: non-protein coding LRRC75A-AS1:50
Source: RNAcentral
UUUUCAUUCCCGUUGUUAUGGAGGUAGGCUCUCUAGGAAUCUGGGAGUAGUAGCUGGGGGGCAAGAGCAAAUAAAGAGCUCGAGCUUCUGUGGUCUCUGGGGAGAUGUUCCCGGGAAGCCUGUCUAGAGGGCGGAGGGCAGCUGUUGAGAUGGCGUGGCUCCCCGGCUCCUGCGCCCGCGUGGCUUUCGCGGCGGGCGCUGCGGCCCGGUAUUGGACAGCCUGGCAGGGCAGCGCGGGGCCGAAUCCGGCUGCCGUGGCUGAGGCUCAUGGAUCACUCUUUUGUGGUAGGGCCACAUCUGCCAGAGCCUGGAGUCUGCGAAGGCCGGGACCCGGUUCCCCGGCCCACAGUGGGGGUGUGCAAACCCGAGAGAACUGGGUUGCAAAUUCGUGAAGAAUCAGCAUCAUGUUUGGCAGCUGAGUAUUGGAGCCAGGAGCCUGCCAUGAGGUUUUGAGAACAGAGUGCUGUUUUAGAGCUGGCAGCAGCAUCUCAGCCCAAGAGAAGAUUGAAAUGUAGUUUCUUUGCAGGUUAUAUUCCCAGAGGAUGUCAGUCCCAAGGACCAGUAGCUGCCAUCAGUUUGGAUUCUGAAAACUAACUGGCAUCAACACUGGGUGUAGAAACAUGCUUGCCUUAUGUAUCAGAGGACAUGCUCAGCAGAUCCAAGAGAUAUAUUUGGCAACUUUUUCUAGAAAAGGCACAUUGGGUAUCAUUCAUUACAUUCUUGAGUUUUUUUGGGUUUUUUUUUUUUUUUUUGAGACAGUCUUGCUGUAUUGCCCAGGCUGGAGUGUGGUGGCACAAUCACAGCUCAUUGCAUCCUCAAUCACCCAGGCCUAAGCAAUCCUCCCACCUUGUAGCUGGGACUACAGCUCACAGCACACCUGGCUAAAAUUUUUUUUUUGUUGAGACGGAUUCUCUAUGUUGCCCAGGCUGGUCUCAGGCUCCUGGGCUCAGAUGGUCCUCCUGCCUCAGCUUCCAAAGGCACAGGCCAAGUUGUAGCUUUGUCCCUUGCCAUCAUGCCCAACAAGAGGUUCUAUACCUUUUAAUGAAUUGACUUUCAUAAAUUGGUUAUGUUGGUGGGCAAAGUUCUUUAAGCUGGAAAUUGUAAAUUCCUCCUGAAAUGUUUUUUCAUGCAGUUACCAUGAACUAAUACUACAAUAAAGGAUGGUCUUGGGUGUCAA